UAUGCAGGCGGAUCGUUAAGUCGGGGGUGAAAUCCCGAGGCUCAACCUCGGAACUGCCUUCGAUACUGGCGAUCUUGAGUCCGGGAGAGGUGAGUGGAACUCCGAGUGUAGAGGUGAAAUUCGUAGAUAUUCGGAAGAACACCAGUGGCGAAGGCGGCUCACUGGCCCGGUACUGACGCUGAGAUACGAAAGCGUGGGGAGCAAACAGGAUUAGAUACCCUGGUAGUCCACGCCGUAAACGAUGGGUGCUAGCCGUCGGCAAGUUUACUUGUCGGUGGCGCAGCUAACGCAUUAAGCACCCCGCCUGGGGAGUACGAUCGCAAGAUUAAA
RNAcentral lists this ribosomal RNA (330 nucleotides) under uncultured Kaistia sp. RNAcentral describes it as "bacterial SSU rRNA". It matches the Rfam family "Bacterial small subunit ribosomal RNA", at positions 568 to 898 of the family's 1533-position model. The record is from RNAcentral. Lineage: Bacteria; Pseudomonadati; Pseudomonadota; Alphaproteobacteria; Hyphomicrobiales; Kaistiaceae.